GUGUCAGCCGCCGCGGUAAUACGUAGGGUGCGAGCGUUGUCCGGAAUUAUUGGGCGUAAAGAGCUCGUAGGCGGUUCGUUGCGUCUGCCGUGAAAACCCGGGGCUUAACUCCGGGCCUGCGGUGGAUACGGGCGGACUGGAGUACUGCAGGGGAGACUGGAAUUCCUGGUGUAGCGGUGGAAUGCGCAGAUAUCAGGAGGAACACCGGUGGCGAAGGCGGGUCUCUGGGCAGGUACUGACGCUGAGGAGCGAAAGCGUGGGGAGCGAACAGGAUUAGAAACCCCCGUAGUCC
Molecule: ribosomal RNA, 292 nt
Filed under: uncultured bacterium
Lineage: Bacteria
Description: partial 16S ribosomal RNA
Rfam family: Bacterial small subunit ribosomal RNA
Source: RNAcentral